GUCUGCAUGUCUUUGUGUCUGCAUAUGUGUCUGUGUUUGUAUCUGUGUGAGUGUCAUUCUGUAUGAAUGUGUAGCUGCAUGUGUGUCUCUGUAUCUGUAUAUGUGUCAGUGUCUGUAUCUGUGUGUUUCUGCAUGUGGGUCCAUGUAUGUAUCUGUAUGUUAUUGUGUGUAUCUGAAUGUAUGUCAGUUUCUGUUCAUCUGCAUGUUUGUCAGUAAGUGUAUCUGUGCAUCGGUGUAUGAAGGUGUGUCAGUGUGUAUCUGCAUGUGUGUCUGUGUAUGCACUUGUGUGUCUGUGUAUCUCUCUAUGUAUGCCUGUACGUGUGUAUGUGUGCAUAUCUAUGUAUGUCAGUGUUUGCAUCUGUAUGUGUCUCAGUGUGUGUAUUUUGUCUCAGUAAGAAAUGAGAGGGCUAAGUGUGUGUGUGGUUUUUUUUGGUGUGUGUGGGCGUUGAUGGCGUGAUGGCAUGCUAGGAAGGGGAAGGGCUAGGUCAAGGGGCCCAAAUCAAAUACCUGCCCAGGGUCCAAUCAGUAUUAAAGACGGCCCUGCAUGUAUGGCUGCCUGGAUGUACCCGUCCAGGGUCCAUACCUCUGUGAUGGUUGUGUGCGAGUGGCUUCUCUGGAAGCUCAGAUUGGAGAUCUCGA
Molecule: non-coding RNA, 639 nt
Organism: Pelobates cultripes (western spadefoot toad)
Lineage: Eukaryota; Metazoa; Chordata; Amphibia; Anura; Pelobatidae
Source: the annotation of a GenBank genome assembly